GUCCCGCUGAACUUAAGCAUAUCAAUAAGCGGAGGAAAAGAAACCAACAGGGAUUGCCCUAGUAACGGCGAGUGAAGCGGCAACAGCUCAAAUUUGAAAGCUGGCUCUCGGGCCCGCAUUGUAAUUUGCAGAGGAUGCUUCUGGCGACGCGCCUUCCGAGUUCCCUGGAACGGGACGCCAUAGAGGGUGAGAGCCCCGUCCGGUCGUGCGCCUAGCCUCUGUGAAGCUCCUUCGACGAGUCGAGUAGUUUGGGAAUGCUGCUCAAAAUGGGAGGUAUACGUCUUCUAAAGCUAAAUACCGGCCAGAGACCGAUAGCGCACAAGUAGAGUGAUCGAAAGAUGAAAAGCACUUUGAAAAGAGAGUUAAAAAGUACGUGAAAUUGUUGAAAGGGAAGCGCUCAUGACCAGACUUGGGCUGGCCCGAUCAUCCGGCGUUCUCGCCGGUGCACUCGGGCCGCCCAGGCCAGCAUCAGCUUUCGCCGGGGGAUAAAGGCGGCGGGAAUGUGGCUCCCUCGGGAGUGUUAUAGCCCGCCGUGCAAUACCCUGGUGGGGGCUGAGGUUCGCGCGUAUGCACGGAUGCUGGCGUAAUGGUUAUCAGCGACCCGUCUUGAAACACGGACCAAGGAGUCGUCUUCGUAUGCGAGUGUUCGGGUGUCAAACCCCUACGCGGAAUGAAAGUGAACGCUGGUGAGAGCUUCGGCGCAUCACCGACCGAUCCUGAUGUUCUCGGACGGAUUUGAGUAAGAGCAUACGGGGCCGGACCCGAAAGAAGGUGAACUAUGCCUGUAUAGGGUGAAGCCAGAGGAAACUCUGGUGGAGGCUCGCAGCGGUUCUGACGUGCAAAUCGAUCGUCAAAUAUGGGCAUGGGGGCGAAAGACUAAUCGAACUCUAGGGGG
RNAcentral lists this ribosomal RNA (895 nucleotides) under Trichothecium roseum. RNAcentral's name for it is "partial large subunit ribosomal RNA". It matches the Rfam family "Eukaryotic large subunit ribosomal RNA", at positions 24 to 951 of the family's 3401-position model. The record is from RNAcentral. Lineage: Eukaryota; Fungi; Ascomycota; Sordariomycetes; Hypocreales.